Long non-coding RNA from Vitis vinifera (wine grape), 678 nucleotides. RefSeq lists it as uncharacterized. The record is from RefSeq and is a predicted model, not a curated record. NCBI's taxonomy places the organism in Eukaryota, Viridiplantae, Streptophyta, Magnoliopsida, Vitales, Vitaceae. The transcript has 2 exons.
GGAAAAUGUUCUUGGUUUUCAUUAUUUAAGAGCAAUUUUUUUCAAGCCCAAACAAUAAGCCGUUCAUAUGAAGUUUCUAAACUUUCGCAAGCAACAUUAGCAGAAAAUGGGCUGGCUGGGCUUCAGUGUUUCGAAUAGAACGGGCCCAAACUUCAACCCAAAUGGAAUUGUGAGCAAGGCCCAUUUAGGUGUGUCUAGGGUUUACUUAUAUAAACAAUCCCCCGUGACCCAUGUUAUAAGUUAGGGUUUGCCCGGUUUGGAAAGCAGAAGCUAGGGUUUGAUCACCAUGAGGGCCAAGUGGAAGAAGAAGCGCAUGAGGAGGUUGAAGAGGAAGCGCCGAAAGAUGAGGCAGAGAUCCAAGUAGAACCAUCUUGUGGUUUUCAUGUUCUAGGGUUUUGGUUACAUUUCUAGCUUCUGUAAACGAACCAGUUGUUGGAUUUGGUUAUUAAUUUUGUGUUUUAUGUGAUUUACUUGACCUCCGUUUGGUUCUUGGAAAAAAAUGGAAGAAAAAGAAAAUGCUUAGAAGGCUACUCGAUUGAGGGUUUUAAGAAUUUUCUAUAUUUUUCUCAAAAAAAAAACCUGGAAUGGAACUGGAUGCGAGUAGAUUUUGGUUGUUUUUGUGUUAGGGUUUUGUUUGGUUGGUAUCUCAAUUUAGUGCUAUGUGGAUUUCGCGUCAAA